Molecule: ribosomal RNA, 253 nt
Filed under: uncultured bacterium
Lineage: Bacteria
Description: partial 16S ribosomal RNA
Rfam family: Bacterial small subunit ribosomal RNA
Source: RNAcentral
UACAGAGGUGGCAAGCGUUGUUCGGAAUUACUGGGCGUAAAGGGCGCGUAGGUGGCCUUCUUAGUCAGACGUGAAAUCCCCGGGCUUAACUCGGGAACUGCGUCUGAUACUGGAAGGCUGGAGUUCGGGAGAGGAAUGUGGAAUUCCAGGUGUAGCGGUGAAAUGCGUAGAUAUCUGGAGGAACACCGGUGGCGAAGGCGGCACUCUGGACCGAAACUGACGCUGAGGCGCGAAAGCCAGGGGAGCAAACGGG